GAUGAACGCUCGCUACAGGCUUAACACAUGCAAGUCGAGGGGCAGCAUGAUUGAAGCUUGCUUCAAUCGAUGGCGACCGGCGCACGGGUGAGUAACACGUAUCCAACCUGCCGAUAACUCGGGGAUAGCCUUUCGAAAGAAAGAUUAAUACCCGAUAGUAUAGUAUUUCCGCAUGGUUUCACUAUUAAAGAACUUCGGUUAUCGAUGGGGAUGCGUUCCAUUAGAUAGUUGGCGGGGUAACGGCCCACCAAGUCAACGAUGGAUAGGGGUUCUGAGAGGAAGGUCCCCCACAUUGGAACUGAGACACGGUCCAAACUCCUACGGGAGGCAGCAGUGAGGAAUAUUGGUCAAUGGACGAGAGUCUGAACCAGCCAAGUAGCGUGAAGGAUGACUGCCCUAUGGGUUGUAAACUUCUUUUAUACGGGAAUAAAGUGGAGUAUGCAUACUCCUUUGUAUGUACCGUAUGAAUAAGGAUCGGCUAACCCCGUG
Molecule: ribosomal RNA, 489 nt
Filed under: uncultured bacterium
Lineage: Bacteria
Description: partial 16S ribosomal RNA
Rfam family: Bacterial small subunit ribosomal RNA
Source: RNAcentral